This is a non-coding RNA of Phascolarctos cinereus (koala), 603 nucleotides long. The record is from the annotation of a RefSeq genome assembly. NCBI's taxonomy places the organism in Eukaryota, Metazoa, Chordata, Mammalia, Diprotodontia, Phascolarctidae.
CACCAUCACUUAUGUGUCUGCAGUGGGCCGACCUCCCUACAACCUGUUCUCAAGGCAUUAGUAUGGGAUUUCACCUGACUCUCACUGUCAUCCUGAGUCUUUACAAAGGUGUUUGGGCACAAAUUAAGUUGGAGCAAAGUGGAAAUGAGAUAAAAGAAAUUGGACAGUUUGUACGUCUCUCCUGCAAAGUAUCAGGAAUCCAAAUUGAAAAUGCCUUUAUGUACUGGUACCGCCAGGUACAGGGAAAGACGCUGGAGUAUAUAAGCUCUAUGUCUGGUAAUAGAGAAAAUGGAUAUACCCCAAAGACAAUGCAAAGGAGAGCCUUCAUAUCCAUACAUACCUCCAGCAACCUACUCUACUUAGAAAUUGAAAACCUGGAGCAAGAAGAUUCAGCUGUGUACUACUGUGGAGUACCACAACAUGGAGAAGAAAACUGACUCCAGACCCAAAACCUUGCCUAGGCUUGUGUAAAUUCGGGCAAAUGACUCAAAAGCCUAUCACUGAUCUCCAGCAUCUAAAUGAAGGUUGUCUCUGUCUCCAGUGAAAAUCAUUUUAGUAGAAUAUGUUUCCUUAGGGUAGGGACUGUCUUAAUUUUGAAUUCAU